RNAcentral lists this long non-coding RNA (5057 nucleotides) under Homo sapiens (human). RNAcentral describes it as "HSALNT0345639". Lineage: Eukaryota; Metazoa; Chordata; Mammalia; Primates; Hominidae. The record is from RNAcentral.
ACCUGGUCCCAUACUAUCUCUCCGACUUCAUCUCCUAUUGUCACCUCCCUUCCUUUCCAGCCACUCUGCCUCCAUGUUACUCUUCGAACUUCCAAGAAUACCAUGCUCUCCUGAGGACUUUUGCACCCAGACAGUUCUUCCUCAGAUGGCCACGUGGUCCAUCCUGUCACUUCCUGGGCCUGUGCUGAAAGACGCCUCCCUGUGAAGCCGUCCCAGAUCACUCGUAUGUGAUUGUAAUCCCCUUCUCCCAGUGCUAGCCGUUCUCCUUCCUCUGCUGUAUUUUUCUCCAUAACACACAUCACAAUCGGACACAACACAUAUUUGCUUGUUUGUUUUUUACCUGUUUCUGCCCUGGAGAAGGUAAGCUGUGACAAUGCAGGCCUUUUUGUUCACUGCUAUAACCCCGGUGCCUAGAAGAAUGUGUUGCACAUGGCAGGCCCUUGACACACAUUUAAAUAAAUAAACAAAGCAAUUAACCUUUCUGUGGGACCUUCCACUGAUUGUCAGGAUCUGAAUUCUCACCUCUGCCCUUCCUAGAUGUGUGAGUUUGGACAAGUCACGAACCCCUUUAGGCCUCUGUUUCCUUAUCUGAAAAAGAGCAUGUUGGACUAAAUGGCAUCUUAAAGUCCCUUAUGGCUAAAAUUUAGGGAGAAUCCCUGAAGGAAGUGGGACCUUGAGGUAAGGGCCUGAUGUCCAUGAUUCUCUCGCAGAAUUAAAGCCCUGCAUUCCAUUAAAGCCCUGCAUGCCACCUCUGCCCCCAGACCAGGCCUGGGCAGAAGCAGGGCCACCAGCCCUGCAGCUGGAAGCUAAGAGCUAGCCAGAAGGCUGAGGUCAAGGACUGAUGACUAAGAUGAAGGGAAAGAGAUGGACGGGGCAGAACUGGGGCUGCUGCGUUUUAUUUAAAUCCAUGAUAAGGAUCAGGAAGCAGGCAACAGCCCGAUGACACAUUAAUUAACUUUGCAGAUGAUACUGGAUCAGGAAGGUGUCCCAUCCACCCAUCUCAGCGAGAGAGAUGGGACAAAAGGACCUGAGGAGGGGUCAGGAAUUAGGCCAGGAAAUUACAACAAUGAACUUUGGCUGUGGCCAAGAGGGGAAAGGACUCAUGUUCUCUCGAGUGGAUUGGGGGUAGGGUGGAGAGGAUCUAUUUUCAGAACACAGAUAAGCAGUGGAUGGUAGGGGCUGGGAGUGGUGGCAGGGACCGCGAGGUCCCCUGGUUGUUUGAAUUGAUGUACUGAUCCCCAGUGGAGACAGAGCCUGUUUUCUUGCCACUGUGUUUGGAGGAAGGGGACGGGGUAAGGGACAGGGAAGAUAAAUGACAUUGAUGGAGCACCCACCAUGAACCAGGCACCAUACACAGUAUCUCAUUUAAACUCCGCAACAGCAAUGAUAAGACAAGAGGAAAUAAUGGGUCACAUAGACUAAGAAGUUUCUGAGAGUCACACUGCCAGAAAGUGGCAGAGUUGAGAUUCAGAUGUAGGAGGGAGGCGAUGGUCCCAAAGUGGGUUAAGGGCCCCAGGAGAAAAACCAGAGUAGCUGCCAGGUUAUCAAACUGCCUCUUCAUUUUUAGGACUGAAACCUAAGUAAGUAACAAGUACCCAAAAGAAGACUUUCAUUAGCACCCUGGGGUUCCACGGGUACUGGAAGUUUUCUUCUCUCCCUCCUGCUGGGACCAACCUGACCUUCCUAAGCAGUGCAGAGAAAGGAACGGGGAGGAAUGGAAGACUGUCAGGCAUCUGGACAAUGUGGAGGGGUGACGCCAAGGAAAAAAAAGUGUGAGAGCUCUUGCAGCCUGUUGUGGAAAAGAUACCAAAGGGCUCAAAGGCUCAGUUCUGUUCUGGCCACUAACCUCUCUGUCUUUGGUGAGAACAGGGUACUGAUGGAUUCUAGGUGAGUGAAUGGUCACCUCUGGGGUGAGCCAUUUCAGAGAAUACAGGCCCAUAGACAAGGAUAGGUACCCCUGAAGAGGGCUUGGGGUGUGCCCGGACUCAAGGGUGACAGACAUCUCUAUUCCUCUAGGGAGCUGACAGCUGGAGGCAUUCCUGAAACUCUAGCUAGGAACUCAGUGCGUGACCCAAAAGGGAAUCCCAAACAACAAGUCUAUGAUUGAGCAGUCUGUUUCUGGUUGGGUCAUGAUGCCACAACAAACGGCCCAAGUAGAGAAGGCUGCAGGCCCUGGGCAGGCCUGGUGAGAAGGGCUGACCCAAAGGACAGCCAUUGUGCUCCAAGCAGCAUGAGCAGGGCUCAGGGGCACCAUCGGAGCAAGGAUAGGAUCGGAGGGUGUGGAACCCGAGAGUUUCCCAGGAAUGGGGUGAAGGAAGGGUUGAUAGGAGCAGCACGGGGUGCCUGGGGGCCCGGGAAGGCAUUUCUGAGGCCUAGAGGAAGGACCUUCGUCAUCCAGGGACCCUGGGAGCAGAGCAGGGUCUCGGUAAACCAGAGAAGCCACACAUGUCCUGAGAGAAUGCACUGGGGGUCUCCCUGGAGGAGGCAAGACCCGGAAGCGGGUAGGCAGUAGGAAAGAAGCUGUAUGGAAUCACAGUCUGGCUCCCACCCAGCCUAGAAGUUAGAACAUUUUUGUUGACAUUCUUCUUGUUUGCAGCUCUGUAGCCAUGUUCUGUUUGCAUUAGCUCCCUGGUAAAAUUGCUCAGAAAACAUCCUUCUAGGCAUCUGUGUGUUUGCUAGAGGGGAAGAAAUAGUGUUUCCAGCCUGGGGUCAGAGGCUGGUGGUAGCCAGGAGAGGUGGUGGCAGGAACUGCCCCAAUUCCAGGCUAGAGAUGAACCAGCUGUGAUGGGGAUGGGGACUCUUCCGGAGCAGGAACAGUCAGGGCCUGGUCCUAUCCUGCCCGGGCAUGGACACGUCAGAGGCUUUAUCGUAAAUUGGGGAAAGCUUCAUGACACUACCUCCCACCCUGGCCUACUCCUGUUCUCACAUGGGGCUGUGAAAAUGACCAAUUUUUAAAAAUAUUAGAGAUGGAGUUGAUGGAAAUAUUCAAGCCAAAAGAAUGGUGACACCUCAACAGCUGACGUGCUGGGAGAAGGCUCCAGGGCCAGGGGCUCUCCUGGCCUCUGCGGAUGUCUGACUGGGCCACAGCCUACCUCCUACGCCCAGGUCUGGCCUCAACUUCUUGGUAACUAUAGCCAACCAGAAAUACCACCCAUAUUUUUCUCUGUGAUGGGGCUGCCUUGGGGAUGCCGAAGAGCAGUUUCUGAGCAGGGACACGACAUUUCUGUUGCUUUGUGGCUGACCUGGUCGGCACCUCAGGGUCUGAGAUACAGAUUCCAGUCACAAGCUGGUGGGCCAUUUAUACAAUCUGGUGGGGUAUAGCGCAGCAUUAUACACCAAGCCCCUAAACCUGGGUGAAGCAGAUCAUAUGUGAAAUGCACUGCAGAGGAACCCAGGUGAGUUUUUUUUAGAGGGCAGGCGGGAAGAAGGGGAGAGAGCAAAGACUGACUUGUGCAAAGACAGCUCUACAACAAGCCUCAAGGGAUAAAGCCUUCCAAGGACUAUGGGGAACAAGGUGAGGGGUGCAAAAUGCAGAUGCAGACACAGGAAAGAAGUGGAGGUUACAUUUUCCUCAAGAGAAAUGGAGACAGCUCUAGGGCUGGCAAAUUAAGUUAAGGAGGAGGAAUGUUCUAGGGAAGACAGCUUGGAGGAUAGGAGAAGCAUUGCUUUUAUGGGAGGUAGAAAUCAUAAGGUAUGGCAGUUUGAGGCUAUGCAAAUAUUCCCUGUGUGUUCUCCAAAUCCCAAAUGUCCUUUCUUCCUUUCAAGGCAUUGGAUCCCUGGGUCAUUCAUAGGAGCUGGUUUUCAGCGAGGUUCACCUUUACCAGGCAGCUCCAAAUAGUGAGGCCUAGAGGAAUCCCAUCCAAGCGGGAUUAAAAUUAUAGAAGUUUAAAACCUGAUUUUUUUCCAGUUAUCUGACCACAGAAGAGCUGCCAAUCUCUCUGGUCAUCUUGCCAACCCUGAAGAACCUCGGUCAAGUCUCCACCUGUUUUUCAGGCUUCAAAAGCUUUGGCAAGAGAACUACUCAGUGUGGCUGACAGGCCCUCCAGGGUCCUGUUCUGGCAUUCCCUAAGACUGUCUCUAGAGAAAUUGUUCAUAAACCGGGAGAUCUCCUCCCUUCUACCCCCAAAUACCCAUUGGAAGCUGGAAAGAAGGUUCUAGAAGAUUCCCAGUCACCAGCCCUGACUCCCAUGAAUUUACCUAACCUGUUCGCCUAAUCCCUCUGGCAGUGUGAGGCUUACAGAAGGGUGGAGGGGAAUUCUAUUCUCCUGGUACCACAGUAAACACUCAAAACUAUUUGAAACACCAGAACCUUGCACAAAAUUCUGACCUACUUCGAAUAACACCAAGUUCCACAUUUCCACUUUGAGAGUUUUCAGAGGAAGAACAGCAAAAUUAGGCAUAACAACCUAUCAAACAAACCACCAGCCAAAAACAAACCAAGACAAAAAACAGGCCAAACUAAAGCUUUAUGCUAUAAAAACAAGAAAUAAAAUAAGGAGAUUUAUAGGCCGGCUGAUUGUCAGCAAACACAAUAUAUUUACUGUAUUAGCAUUUGCUCACAGUGCAAAUGGUACAACAUUACACCAUUUCAAUAUUUCGGUUUUUAAAAAUGCUGUUUUCAUUAACUAUAUUAUAUUGGCAUUACAAUAUGACAAAGGAGCAAAUGAAAUGUUGGUGAAGAAUUUCACCUUUUCACAAUAUCAAGCAUAUUUUUUUAACCUUAGUAUAAGGUACUAUAAAUCCAAGAAAUAAAAACAUCCACAAAAUAUAUUACAUCUGGUUUGUCUUUUUUCUAAGUACUCAACUUUAUACAAAAGUCUUUCAAAAAAUAUCAUUCCCCAUAGGUUUUCCUGUUUAAAACCUGAUUUUUUUCUCUCAGUUCACAUAAGUUAGAGUGCAUUUUCUUUUGUUGCUUUUUUUUUUUAAACAUGCAGACAUAUAAAAAAUCUGGAUAGCACAACCUUUUGGCAACAAAGUUAUUUUUCUCUUAGUUUAGCUUAAUGUCUGAGAACAGUUUUAUUAAAACAAAGGAAAACUCAAUUAUCAUGCAGUGACAU